This 253-nucleotide ribosomal RNA is filed under the name uncultured bacterium. RNAcentral describes it as "partial 16S ribosomal RNA". It matches the Rfam family "Bacterial small subunit ribosomal RNA", at positions 524 to 776 of the family's 1533-position model. The record is from RNAcentral.
UACGUAGGGGGCUAGCGUUGUCCGGAAUCAUUGGGCGUAAAGAGCGUGUAGGCGGCCCGGUAAGUCCGCUGUGAAAGUCGGGGGCUCAACCCUCGAAUGCCGGUGGAUACUGUCGGGCUAGAGUGCGGAAGAGGCGAGUGGAAUUCCUGGUGUAGCGGUGAAAUGCGCAGAUAUCAGGAGGAACACCAAUUGCGAAGGCAGCUCGCUGGGACGUAACUGACGCUGAGGAGCGAAAGCGUGGGGAGCGAACAGG